AUCCAACUGACGAGUCCUAAAUAGGACGAAACGCGUGCCAAAGUGGAU
This 48-nucleotide non-coding RNA is filed under the name Schistosoma haematobium. The record is from RNAcentral. Lineage: Eukaryota; Metazoa; Platyhelminthes; Trematoda; Strigeidida; Schistosomatidae.